CCGGCCUCUCUGGCCCUCUUUGGCUUCCUCAGCAAAGCCUGCGCUGGACAAUGACCCUUGAUGCAGGAGCUCCAUCGGAGUGAAUGCGCACCCUGAUCCCAGCUAUGCCUGACCCAGAGGCAGUGCUAAAGAAGCCCUAACCCUGAGUUCUGCUGAAGAGGGAAGUUCUCUGUCACCUCCCACCUGUUGGACCCGAUGGUACAUCUCACAGCCCAGAACAGGCUCGUGCUGAAGGAAAAGCUCCUGUGACCAGAAAGACCUCAGAUCUCACUCUGCCACUCUCCUACCUUUGGUCCGAGCUACCUAUCACCACCACAGGCUUCCGGUUUCCUUCUCUAUCAUUUCCCUCUCCAAGCUCAGGAAGUCCAGGCUGGCAGAAAAAAAAAGACUUAACAUUUGCUCCUUUGGAAGGCAAAUUUCCAGAUGAUUCAACAAUGCUGAAGGGUUUACAGCAUCUCUAAACAAAUCAAAAUUUAUGAAAAUACCGGUGUUUGUCAAUGGAAUUUCCCUCCUACUCAUUAAAAGGCCAGUUGCAUUUGUUGAUAAUGUCUAAAGAAUUCUGCAUUCUCACAGAGAGGGUGGGAAUAGGAUGCCACCCUGCUUUUCGGUUAAGGAAACUGAGGAAAGAGAGGGCAGGUACUCUCAUUAAGCAGACCUGGGUUGAUGCCUGUUUCUUAAUCUAUAAAAUGAUGCUACUCCUUCUCUGGUAGGUCGCCAUCCCCAUGGGACCUCUGUAUACCAGAUGCUCCGCACACAGCAGCCAGACAGUGAGGCAAGUUGCUCUGAGAACCAAGCAGCAAGUGUUGAGUGCAGACCUUAUGGACUCCUAGGUCACCACAUCCCCGAAUCACAGAUGUGUUGGGGUUCCCAGAAUGGCUCCUGGUGAAACUCUAGAGAGACAGGAAACCCCAGAAGCUCACGAGGUUGCUCAGCUGUCUAUGAGUCUCGGUUGCUCUUUAUGUGCUUUUGCUAUGCUUCUCACUCCCCUUGCCCCCCAGGACUCCAGCCUUAGUAGCCACAGGCCCAUGCUAUGCUUCCCCAAGGCAUCCUUAGAGUCCAUAUACAAAUAUAGACAGAGCCUGACUCUUUUGCCUGGCUUACUUCAUUUACUCGCUGUCUUCCAGGUUUGCCUAUGUUGUCACAGAUAGCAGUAUUUGCUUCUUUAAAGCUGAACAACAAAUAUUCUGGUUAUAUAUAAGAGUCAUAUUCUCUUCCUCCAUUCAUCUCUUAAGAGGCUCUGUGUUAUCUCCACAGCAGCCUAGGGGUAGCUAUUGUGGCUAUUUCUGCAAUGAACAUGGGAGCAUUGUCAUCUCUUGGUGACAGUCUUGAUGUCCUUUGGACAUGUACCCAGAUACAGGAUUUUUGAGUCAUGUGGCGCUUCAAUUUUUAAUUUCCAAAUGCAUUCUUGUAGUAUUUUCUUGAAUGGCUAUGCAAAUUUACAUUUCCAACACUAUGCAUGGAUUCUAUAUUUGCCACACCCCCAACAACAUUUGUUAUAGCCUCUUGGGGCUUGUUUUGGUGUUUAUUUUUUGUGAAUUUUUCGUUAUUGUUGUUUCUUAUUGUUUUUGGAAACAGACGCCCUUACAAGCAUGUAAUGGCAGCACUAGGUGGUCGAGAUUUCUCUGUCCGCAGUGAUUAGGGAUGGAAUUCACCUAUUGCUCUUCCUGUUGGCUGGAUGUGUGCUUAGCAUAAACUGGCAUUCAGGCCCCAUCUUAGUGUCUUUUCCUAUCUCUUUGUUAAAAUACUGAAAAAAAAAAA
Long non-coding RNA from Mus musculus (house mouse), 1758 nucleotides. RefSeq annotates it as predicted gene, 53338. The record is from RefSeq and is a predicted model, not a curated record. The transcript has 2 exons. NCBI's taxonomy places the organism in Eukaryota, Metazoa, Chordata, Mammalia, Rodentia, Muridae.